This 444-nucleotide ribosomal RNA is filed under the name uncultured bacterium. RNAcentral describes it as "partial 16S ribosomal RNA". It matches the Rfam family "Bacterial small subunit ribosomal RNA", at positions 338 to 795 of the family's 1533-position model. The record is from RNAcentral.
CCUACGGGAGGCAGCAGUGGGGAAUAUUGGGCAAUGGAGGCAACCCUGACCCAGCAAUGCCGCGUGAAUGAAGAAGGUCUUCGGAUUGUAAAGUUCUUUAAUUGGGGACGAAAAAAAUGACGGUACCCAAGGAAUAAGCCCCGGCUAACUACGGGCCAGCAGCCGGGGUAAUACGUAGGGGGCAAGGGUUGUGCGGAAUGACUGGGAGUAAAGGUGGUGUAGGCGGGGUAGACAGUUAGAAGGGGAAUACCUCGAGCUUAACCCAGGUGCUGCUUCUAAAACUGCUAUACUUGAGUGCGGGAGAGGAAAGUGGAAUUCCUGGUGUAGCGGUGAAAUGCGUAGAUAUUAGGAGGAACAUCAGUGGCGAAGGCGACUUUCUGGACUGUAACUGACGCUGAGGCACGAAAGUGUGGGGAGCAAACAGGAUUAGAUACCCCAGUAGUC